RNAcentral lists this ribosomal RNA (256 nucleotides) under uncultured bacterium. RNAcentral's name for it is "partial 16S ribosomal RNA". It matches the Rfam family "Bacterial small subunit ribosomal RNA", at positions 524 to 776 of the family's 1533-position model. The record is from RNAcentral.
UACGGGGGGGGCAAGCGUUGUUCGGAAUUACUGGGCGUAAAGGGCUCGUAGGCGGCCAACUAAGUCGGAUGUGAAAUCCCCAGGCUUAACCUGGGGAACUGCAUCCGAUACUGGAUGGCUUGAAUCCGGGAGAGGGAUGCAGAAUUCCAGGUGUAGCGGUGAAAUGCGUAGAUAUCUGGAGGAAUACCGGUGGCGAAGGCGGCAUCCUGGACCGGCAUUGACGCUGAUGAGCGAAAAGCUAGGGGGAGCAAACGGG